AGCUGUGGUCUCUCAGACCUCACAAGGAUAAAGAGGACUUUUUAAAUGGCAAUCAUUAAACUUAUCCAGUGUUCAUUGCCACGGCAAGUGGGAGCCACAGUAACAAUUAACCACAAGAUAAACUGGUUUUGUCCAAGACAUACUAGAUCCCUAGGGGGAGCGAGCGUUGCUGUGUCCACUGAGAUAGAAUGCCCCACCGCUGAUCUGAAGAUAAAGUCUCAGAAACCCUCAGCAGAGACAACCCACCAGAUCUUAACUGAUGUUACAGGACAGACAAAGACGUAACAAAACGCCUCAGAUUACUCACUCAUUCAGAUAACUGAGAUAAGGGGCAGGAUGAAACGUAACCAACUGAGUGG
Chelonia mydas (Green sea turtle) is the source of this 359-nucleotide long non-coding RNA. RefSeq lists it as uncharacterized. The transcript is spliced from 3 exons. NCBI's taxonomy places the organism in Eukaryota, Metazoa, Chordata, Testudines, Cheloniidae. The record is from RefSeq and is a predicted model, not a curated record.